This 23-nucleotide small nuclear RNA is filed under the name Arabidopsis thaliana (thale cress). RNAcentral describes it as "snRNA_12995". The record is from RNAcentral. Lineage: Eukaryota; Viridiplantae; Streptophyta; Magnoliopsida; Brassicales; Brassicaceae.
GGAUGUCUUAUGAAAUGAUUUUG